UGCGGGAUCGUCUAACGGUAGGACACAGGACUUUGAAUCCUGGUAUCUAGGUUCGAUUCCUAGUCCCGCAGCCA
RNAcentral lists this transfer RNA (74 nucleotides) under bacterium. RNAcentral describes it as "tRNA-Gln". It matches the Rfam family "tRNA". Rfam says of the family: Transfer RNA (tRNA) molecules are approximately 80 nucleotides in length. Their secondary structure includes four short double-helical elements and three loops (D, anti-codon, and T loops). The record is from RNAcentral.